UACGGGAGGCAGCAGUGGGGGAAUAUUGCACAAUGGGCGCAAGCCUGAUGCAGCCAUGCCGCGUGUAUGAAGAAGGCCUUCGGGUUGUAAAGUACUUUCAGUCGUGAGGAAGGUGUUAAGGUUAAUAACCUUAGCAAUUGACGUUAGCGACAGAAGAAGCACCGGCUAACUCCGUGCCAGCAGCCGCGGUAAUACGGAGGGUGCGAGCGUUAAUCGGAAUUACUGGGCGUAAAGGGCACGCAGGCGGUUAAUUAAGUUGGAUGUGAAAUCCCCGGGCUUAACCUGGGAAUGGCAUUCAAGACUGGUUAGCUAGAGUCUUGUAGAGGGGGUAGAAUUCCAUGUGUAGCGGUGAAAUGCGUAGAGAUGUGGAGGAAUACCGGUGGCGAAGGCGGCCCCUGGACAAAGGCUGACGCUCAUGUGCGAAAGCGUGGGGAGCAA
This 438-nucleotide ribosomal RNA is filed under the name uncultured bacterium. RNAcentral describes it as "bacterial SSU rRNA". It matches the Rfam family "Bacterial small subunit ribosomal RNA", at positions 340 to 771 of the family's 1533-position model. The record is from RNAcentral.